CGGCCAUGUCAGGCACAGUGC
Molecule: microRNA, 21 nt
Filed under: Columba livia (rock pigeon)
Lineage: Eukaryota; Metazoa; Chordata; Aves; Columbiformes; Columbidae
Description: cli-miR-9624-3p
Source: miRBase by way of RNAcentral